Molecule: ribosomal RNA, 450 nt
Filed under: uncultured bacterium
Lineage: Bacteria
Description: bacterial SSU rRNA
Rfam family: Bacterial small subunit ribosomal RNA
Source: RNAcentral
GCCAGACUCCUACGGGAGGCAGCAGUGGGGAAUAUUGGGCAAUGGGCGCAAGCCUGACCCAGCAACGCCGCGUGAAGGAAGAAGGCUUUCGGGUUGUAAACUUCUUUUGACAGGGAAGAGUAGAAGACGGUACCUGUCGAAUAAGCCACGGCUAACUACGUGCCAGCAGCCGCGGUAAUACGUAGGUGGCAAGCGUUGUCCGGAUUUACUGGGUGUAAAGGGUGUGUAGCCGGGUUGACAAGUCAGAUGUGAAAACCAUGGGCGCAACCUGUGGCCUGCAUUUGAAACUGUUUUUCUUGAGUACUGGAGAGGCAGACGGAAUUCCUAGUGUAGCGGUGAAAUGCGUAGAUAUUAGGAGGAACACCAGUGGCGAAGGCGGUCUGCUGGACAGCAACUGACGCUGAGGCGCGAAAGCGUGGGGAGCAAACAGGAUUAGAUACCCCAGUAAAG